AUGGUCUUAUACGAAUCAUAUGACGAACUACCACAUGAGUGGAUAUACAUGAAAGGAAUCCGAAUAUGCCGAAUCCCUCAUGUCAUCACCUUCUACAUCCUAGGUCUCUUUGUUCUGCCAUCUGGCUUAUGUUCUUCAUGUAUCAUUCAGAUCUAA
Molecule: ribosomal RNA, 156 nt
Filed under: Triticum aestivum (bread wheat)
Lineage: Eukaryota; Viridiplantae; Streptophyta; Magnoliopsida; Poales; Poaceae
Description: partial small subunit ribosomal RNA
Source: RNAcentral